RNAcentral lists this ribosomal RNA (465 nucleotides) under Vreelandella stevensii. Its description in RNAcentral is "partial 16S ribosomal RNA". It matches the Rfam family "Bacterial small subunit ribosomal RNA", at positions 338 to 795 of the family's 1533-position model. Lineage: Bacteria; Pseudomonadati; Pseudomonadota; Gammaproteobacteria; Oceanospirillales; Halomonadaceae. The record is from RNAcentral.
CCUACGGGAGGCUGCAGUGGGGAAUAUUGGACAAUGGGGGCAACCCUGAUCCAGCCAUGCCGCGUGUGUGAAGAAGGCCCUCGGGUUGUAAAGCACUUUCAGUGAGGAAGAACGCCUGGUGGUUAAUACCCAUCAGGAAAGACAUCACUCACAGAAGAAGCACCGGCUAACUCCGUGCCAGCAGCCGCGGUAAUACGGAGGGUGCGAGCGUUAAUCGGAAUUACUGGGCGUAAAGCGCGCGUAGGUGGCUUGAUAAGCCGGUUGUGAAAGCCCCGGGCUCAACCUGGGAACGGCAUCCGGAACUGUCAAGCUAGAGUGCAGGAGAGGAAGGUAGAAUUCCCGGUGUAGCGGUGAAAUGCGUAGAGAUGGGGAGGAAUACCAGUGGCGAAGGCGGCCUUCUGGACUGACACUGACGCUGAGGUGCGAAAGCGUGGGUAGCAAACAGGAUUAGAUACCCUUGUAGUC